Molecule: ribosomal RNA, 450 nt
Filed under: uncultured bacterium
Lineage: Bacteria
Description: partial 16S ribosomal RNA
Rfam family: Bacterial small subunit ribosomal RNA
Source: RNAcentral
GUGGGGAAUAUUGGACAAUGGGCGCAAGCCUGAUCCAGCCAUACCGCGUGGGUGAAGAAGGCCUUCGGGUUGUAAAGCCCUUUUGUUGGGAAAGAAAUCCUGUCGGUUAAUACCUGGCGGGGAUGACGGUACCCAAAGAAUAAGCACCGGCUAACUUCGUGCCAGCAGCCGCGGUAAUACGAAGGGUGCAAGCGUUACUCGGAAUUACUGGGCGUAAAGCGUGCGUAGGUGGUGGUUUAAGUCCGUUGUGAAAGCCCUGGGCUCAACCUGGGAAUUGCAGUGGAUACUGGAUCACUAGAGUGUGGUAGAGGGAUGCGGAAUUUUUUGUGUAGCAGUGAAAUGCGUAGAGAUCAGAAGGAACAUCCGUGGCGAAGGCGGCCAUCUGGACCAGCACUGACACUGAGGCACGAAAGCGUGGGGAGCAAACAGGAUUAGAUACCCGUGUAGUCC